This 247-nucleotide ribosomal RNA is filed under the name uncultured bacterium. RNAcentral describes it as "partial 16S ribosomal RNA". It matches the Rfam family "Bacterial small subunit ribosomal RNA", at positions 523 to 769 of the family's 1533-position model. The record is from RNAcentral.
AUACGUAGGUGGCGAGCGUUAUCCGGAAUUAUUGGGCGUAAAGGGUGCGUAGGCGGUUGAUUAAGUUUUAGGUGAAAGCGUGGGGCUCAACUCCAUACAGCCUAAGAAACUGGUCAACUAGAGUGCAGAAGAGGGUAGUGGAAUUCCAUGUGUAGCGGUAAAAUGCGUAGAUAUAUGGAGGAACACCAGUGGCGAAGGCGGCUACCUGGUCUGUAACUGACGCUCAAGCACGAAAGCGGUGGGGAGC